UGAAUACGAGACGCUACGGCGUCGAAGCAGUCUAUGUCAUACUUCCAAGAAAAGCUUGCACUGUCAUAAACAAAUAAUGCCUGUACCAUAACCGACACAGGUGGGUAGGUAGAGUAUACUAAGGGGCGCGAGAUAACUCUCUCUAAGGAACUCGGCAAAAUGACUCCGUAACUUCGGGAGAAGGAGUGCCUUAAGAAAUUAAGGUUGCAAUAACAAGAUCCAAGCAACUGUUUAUCAAAAACACAGGUCUCCGCUAAGUCGUAAGAUGAUGUAUGGGGGCUGACGCCUGCCCAGUGCCAGAAGGUUAAAGAAGUCGGUUAGCAUUAGCGAAGCUGGUAACUGAAGCCCUGGUGAACGGCGGCCGUAACAAUAACGGUCCUAAGGUAGCGAAAUUCCUUGUCGGGUAAGUUCCGACCCGCACGAAAGGCGUAAUGAUUUGGAUUCUGUCUCGGAGAGGGACUCGGUAAAAUAGACUUGUCUGUGAAGAUGCGGACUACCUGCACCAGGACAGAAAGACCCUAUGAAGCUUUACUGUAACUUGAAAUUGAAAUUGGACUUUACUUGCGCAGUAUAGGUGGGAGGCGUUGAGAAUAUUCUUGCGGGAAUAUUGGAGCCAUCAGUGAGAUACCACUCUUGUAAUGUUAGAUUUCUAACUUUGUAUCAUUAUCUGGUCAAAGAACAGUUUCAGGCGGGCAGUUUGACUGGGGCGGUCGCCUCCUAAACGGUAACGGAGGCCCACAAAGGUUUCCUCUGAACGGGUAGAAAUCGUAUCUAGAGUGUAAAGGCAUAAGGAAGCUUGACUGUGAGACCUACAAGUCGAGCAGGGACGAAAGUCGGUCUUAGUGAUCUGACGGUGCUGAGUGGAAAGGCCGUCACUCAACGGAUAAAAGUUACUCUAGGAUAACAGGCUGAUCUCCCCCAAGAGUUCACAUCGACGGGGAGGUUUGGCACCUCGAUGUCGGCUCAUCGCAUCCUGGGGCGGUAGUACGUCCCAAGGGUUGGGCUGUUCGCCCAUGAAAGCGGUACGCGAGCUGGGUUCAGAACGUCGUGAGACAGUUCGGUCCAUAUCCGGUGUAGGCGUUAGAAUAUUGAGAGGAGCCUUCUUUAGUACGAGAGGACCGAGAAGGACAUACCUCUGGUGUACCAGUUAUCGUGCCAACGGUAAACGCUGGGUAGCCAUGUAUGGAGGGGAUAACCGCCGAAAGCAUCUAAGUGGGAAGCCCACCUC
This 1228-nucleotide ribosomal RNA is filed under the name metagenome. RNAcentral's name for it is "bacterial LSU rRNA". It matches the Rfam family "Bacterial large subunit ribosomal RNA", at positions 1564 to 2800 of the family's 2925-position model. The record is from RNAcentral.